UCCAAAGAUUUUUUCAUUGUGAUAAAAAUCAGCGUCGUAAGGUGUAGUGAGUGAUUGCCCCAUAUUAUAUCUAAGCAGAGUGCACAAUAGGGAAAUAUUGUUCUUACCCAGGCUGCCGAACUGGGCGAGAUGCCAGCAGAGCAAACUGCAAGCGCUUAGGACGACGGCAGCUGUCUGUCUUCAAGAUACCAAAGAAUAUGCAACAACGAUGGAGCGAAGUCCUUGGACAGUGUUUCGACUGAUCAUCUGUGCAUCCUGUGGUGCAACCAAUUGGUCCGGAUGAACCUUCGGGCGCUUUUUGAAUGUGUGGCCACGAAAACUCGUCCGCCUAAUAUAACUUACGACUCGGAACGGAAAAUUCGUGCCCUCGAUUGUUAUUUCCGGAGCCGUAUAUUCGAAAAAAACGUCUUCCAUACGAGGACAAGACGAAAUUCGAGCCCGGAAGCGAAUGGAUCGAAGACAUCAUUAGACAAUGCACUUGGAGUCGGAAAGCCGUUUCUCAAUUAGAAUAUAUCACUGAUUGAAUUGGGUUUCGUGGAUUUUUUCAAAAAGUUGUCACUCGAGAACUGGAUGAAAAAAAAAUAUAAAAAAAAUAUGGUAGCCUCUACUAAUGUGAGUGAACGACAUACAAAAUUUCGCGUCGAAUCGGAAAGGGUGAGGGUUGGAGCCUAGUCGAAUUCGGGUGGAAUGCUCCAUAUAAAUUAUUCACCAAGGAAACAUUAGUUUCAUCGCGUCGGCUAGAAGAACAAUUGAGUUCGUCGGGCCAUCCGGAGCUGGACAAUAUAUGAUAAUGCGGUAAUUGUCGAGGGUCUGCG
Neodiprion virginianus is the source of this 815-nucleotide long non-coding RNA. RefSeq lists it as uncharacterized. NCBI's taxonomy places the organism in Eukaryota, Metazoa, Arthropoda, Insecta, Hymenoptera, Diprionidae. The record is from RefSeq and is a predicted model, not a curated record. The transcript is spliced from 4 exons.